RNAcentral lists this ribosomal RNA (374 nucleotides) under uncultured organism. RNAcentral's name for it is "partial 16S ribosomal RNA". It matches the Rfam family "Bacterial small subunit ribosomal RNA", at positions 527 to 896 of the family's 1533-position model. The record is from RNAcentral.
GUAGGUGGCAAGCGUUGUCCGGAAUUAUUGGGGCGUAAAGCGCGCGCAGGCGGUUCUUUAAGUCUGAUGUGAAAGCCCACGGGCUCAACCGUGGAGGGUCAUUGGAAACUGGAGAACUUGAGUACAGAAGAGGAAAGCGGAAUUCCACGUGUAGCGGUGAAAUGCGUAGAGAUGUGGAGGAACACCAGUGGCGAAGGCGGCUUUCUGGUCUGUAACUGACGCUGAGGCGCGAAAGCGUGGGGAGCAAACAGGAUUAGAUACCCUGGUAGUCCACGCCGUAAACGAUGAGUGCUAAGUGUUAGGGGGUUUCCGCCCCUUAGUGCUGCAGCUAACGCAUUAAGCACUCCGCCUGGGGAGUACGGCCGCAAAGGCUG